This 342-nucleotide long non-coding RNA is filed under the name Homo sapiens (human). RNAcentral describes it as "HSALNT0311692". The record is from RNAcentral. Lineage: Eukaryota; Metazoa; Chordata; Mammalia; Primates; Hominidae.
GUGGGAGUCCAAGGCGCGAAGAUCGCUUGAGCCGAGGAGUUAGAGACCAACUUGGGCAACGUAGGAGACCUCCGUCUCCACAAGUAAAAUUAAUUAGCCGGCUGUGGUGGCGCGCACCUGUGGUCCCAGCUACUCAGGAGGCUGAGGUGUCAGUUGCGGAGCUGGUAUUGUACAUGUCCUCGCAUUUGGCCCUCCUGAAAAUCCGAGAGAGGAGAUGAUGUGUCCAAGGUCACUCUGAGAACUGAACAGAGGGCCGCCUUCUGGGACCCAAGACUCCAGGUUCCAGCCCACUGCCCAGCUGCCUCACCCUGUCAUGAGCACAAUAAAGGAGUUUCAUGAUUA